Molecule: unclassified non-coding RNA, 183 nt
Filed under: uncultured Piloderma
Lineage: Eukaryota; Fungi; Basidiomycota; Agaricomycetes; Atheliales; Atheliaceae
Description: sequence contains ITS1
Source: RNAcentral
UCGAAGUUAUUGGUGAGGGUUGUAGCUGGCCUUUCGGGGCACGUGCACGCCCGAGCCCUUAAUCCACUUUACACCUGUGAACCUAAUGUAGGUCGCCCCUCAAAAGGUGGCCUACGUCUUAUCAUCAACCUUUAUCUUUUAACUCUUUGUCUGAAAAAUAUUAUGAAUAAACAAUUCAAAAUA